RNAcentral lists this ribosomal RNA (254 nucleotides) under uncultured bacterium. RNAcentral's name for it is "partial 16S ribosomal RNA". It matches the Rfam family "Bacterial small subunit ribosomal RNA", at positions 524 to 776 of the family's 1533-position model. The record is from RNAcentral.
UACGUAGGGGGCAAGCGUUGUUCGGAAUGACUGGGCGUAAAGGGUGCGUAGGCGGUGUAGCAAGUUAGAAGUGAAAUACCUAGAGCUUAACUCAGGUGCUGCUUCUAAAACUGCUAAACUUGAGUGCAGUAGAGGAAAGUGGAAUUCCUAGUGCAGCGGUGGAAUGCGUAGAUAUUAGGAGGAACAUCAGUGGCGAAGGCGACUUUCUGGACUGUAACUGACGCUGAGGCACGAAAGUGUGGGGAGCAAACAGG